GACGAACGCUGGCGGCGUGCUUAACACAUGCAAGUCGAACGGAGAGGCCCUGCUUUUGUGGGGUGCUCGAGUGGCGAACGGGUGAGUAACACGUGAGUAACCUGCCCUUGACUUUGGGAUAACUUCAGGAAACUGGGGCUAAUACCGGAUAGGAGCUCCUGCUGCAUGGUGGGGGUUGGAAAGUUUCGGCGGUUGGGGAUGGACUCGCGGCUUAUCAGCUUGUUGGUGGGGUAGUGGCUUACCAAGGCUUUGACGGGUAGCCGGCCUGAGAGGGUGACCGGCCACAUUGGGACUGAGAUACGGCCCAGACCCCUACGGGAGGCAGCAGUGGGGAAUAUUGCACAAUGGGCGGAAGCCUGAUGCAGCAACGCCGCGUGCGGGAUGACGGCCUUCGGGUUGUAAACCGCUUUCGCCUGUGACGAAGCGUGAGUGACGGUAAUGGGUAAAGAAGCACCGGCUAACUACGUG
This 468-nucleotide ribosomal RNA is filed under the name uncultured bacterium. RNAcentral describes it as "partial 16S ribosomal RNA". It matches the Rfam family "Bacterial small subunit ribosomal RNA", at positions 28 to 507 of the family's 1533-position model. The record is from RNAcentral.